GGAAGGAAGGGCUGCAGCUUACAGCAACAGAGUUUAGACUGUCUUUGCUUCAUCAUCUGAAGGCAAAAUUUUCCAGAUACGGCAGACGGCUCUCAGAGUACAAUAAACAGGGAAUGAGAACUAUUUACAUGGAAAUUUCUUCCUCAUGAUGCAGCGGAGAAGCCUCGGCCGCUUGAUUUUGCCAGAUGUUCCUGGGGUUACUGUAAAAGGAAAGGAGAGGCAGAGCUAAACAAGGUUCAAGAUUUAAAAGUGCCUGUGUGAAGUCACUUUUGCUGGAAACCACAGCCCGGGAGCUUCGGUGUUAUCGUGUUUUGCUAUCCAAUACACAUUACCCUGACCUUACGAGUGGAUGAAGAUACCUCAGUUGUCUGGCUUUGCCAAUUGCUUGAUUUGCGGAAUUUUAAAAGGUGAAAGGAAAGAGAAAUCCUGCCAAGAUCUGAACAUCUAAGUGGCUUAUUUUCCAGCAUCGUCAAUAGCUGCGAGCAUCAGAACUAAAUAUUCUCCCAAGGAGUGCCAUGAUAUUGAAGUCACUUUAUUAAAAACAAUUGUGUCUGCAAAACGAUCAGGCGACUCGGACGUUUGCAGCCAGAGAUGACACUGAGCAUGCUUUCAUUGCGGCCCGCAGUCUUCGAGUGGGGCAUAUUGAUUGAUGAGUGACCGCCUGCCGAUAAAUUCUCUCCUCACUCUGUUUCCCGGAUUGGGCUUCUUUAAGCAAUUUGUCACUUACCUUCAGACUUACAUGUGGGAUUUUUCACAGCAAUAGUUUUGGAAUCAUUGGAACUUGAUUUGAUUUCAUCAUUUAACAGAAACGAACAGGAUCCAAAUUAUUUUCUCAUCAUGGCUUUGAAUGUUGCCCCGGUCAGAGAUACAAAAUGGCUGACCUUGGAAGUCUGCAGACAGUUCCAGAGAGGAACGUGCUCCCGUUCUGAUGAGGAAUGCAAAUUUGCUCACCCCCCCAAAAGUUGCCAGGUCGAAAAUGGAAGAGUAAUCGCCUGCUUCGAUUCCCUAAAGGGCCGUUGUUCAAGAGAGAACUGCAAGUAUCUUCACCCUCCAACACAUUUAAAAACUCAACUCGAAAUUAACGGGAGGAACAAUUUGAUCCAGCAAAAAACUGCAGCAGCAAUGCUUGCCCAGCAGAUGCAAUUUAUGUUUCCAGGAACCCCACUUCAUCCAGUGCCCACUUUUCCUGUAGGUCCCGCAAUAGGGACAAAUACGGCGAUUAGCUUUGCUCCUUACUUAGCACCGGUAACCCCUGGAGUUGGGUUAGUCCCAACGGAAAUUCUACCCACCACACCUGUUAUUGUUCCCGGAAGUCCACCUGUCACUGUUCCGGGCUCAACUGCAACUCAGAAACUUCUCAGGACUGACAAACUGGAGGUCUGCAGGGAGUUCCAGCGAGGAAACUGUGCCCGGGGAGAGACUGACUGCCGCUUUGCACACCCCGCUGACAGCACCAUGAUCGACACAAACGACAACACCGUAACCGUUUGUAUGGAUUACAUAAAGGGGCGUUGCAUGAGGGAGAAAUGCAAAUAUUUUCACCCUCCUGCACACUUGCAGGCCAAAAUCAAAGCUGCGCAGCACCAAGCCAACCAGGCCGCGGUGGCCGCCCAGGCAGCCGCGGCCGCGGCCACAGUCAUGACUCAGUCGACUGCCAAAGCAAUGAAGCGACCUCUCGAAGCAUCUGUAGACCUGGCCUUUCCUCCUGGUGCUCUUCAUCCUUUACCAAAGAGACAAGCACUUGAAAAAAGCAACGGUGCCAGCACCGUCUUUAAUCCCAGCGUCUUGCACUACCAGCAGGCUCUCACCAGUGCACAGCUGCAGCAACACACGGCAUUCAUUCCGACAGGGUCAGUUUUGUGCAUGACACCCGCUACCAGUAUUGGUAGGUUCCAACCUUUUUUUAUUUGUCUUUUAUAUUAUGUACAAUACCUUCACUUGAUUGAGAUUUAUCUCAAAGAUCGUAGAAAUGCUGUAGGAACUGGUAGAUCUGAAGGCUUAUUUGGCUUUAGAGUUAAUGUAUAGGUUUCAAAAUGUACUUGUAUACUGAAGACAAUGACCAUCUUAAUGUGACUAGAACAACCACUGCAAGACAUAAAACCACAAGUACAAGUCUGCUUUUUAAUGAUCUGUAUUUUGUUUCUCUUUAUAGUUUAUAUGGUUUAGCAUAAGAAAAAAGAAAAAGCUUACUUUAUCAGAGAGGCAGGCUAAUUUCAUCAAUGUUUUAAAGUUUCAUGUGGUGUGCCUUUAUCUCCUCUUUGCUGUGUGUUAGAGUUAUCAGAGUUUCCCAGAAGUAUUUAUUUAAAAAAAAUUAUAAAUGGAUGUAUUUUGAAAACAAAUGUCUCAACUGCCUUGCUUUAUUAUCCUUUUUAAUUUUGUGUUGAUUUAUUUGUGAUGAGUAUUUGUACCUUACCAUUCCCUUAGAUGUUAACUUUUAAUAGUACAUACAUAAGCUAUCCCCACACAUUCCAAUGCCUUGGUACAAAAGUCUGUCUUAAGGACAUAUGGAUUAGUUCCACUUAGAGUAAAGAAAAAUAAACAUUGGCAAAAUUUGUCUGGCUGUUUCACAGUGACUGUGUUACAAUUUUACAUCAAGGCCAUGAUUUCUGCUCUACUGUUUAUUGACCCAAAUAAACCACAAUCCCCAGUAAUUCCAGUUCAAGCAGGCAGGCCCAAAUCGACCCAAAACAUUCAAUUUAACUGCAAUUAAUUCCAAGAAAAUUCUAACCCAAAUUAGGCCUACAUUAUCGAGGCUUUGAUGUUUUAGAAUGACGAUUAAAAGUGAAUAUUGCAUAGUCUUACUUCAUUUGGACAUUACAAUUUCGCGUUUUGGGGAGCACUGUUUAUUACAGGCACUGUAGACUCUGACUUGGGAACGAUCUAGUGCUGGAGGUAAAAGGGUUUAUAAAUACAUCAACCAAAGUAAUCUGCUUUGGCCUUUCUGGGAAUCACUGAUGAUAUUUUAAAACUUCCUUUAAUUGUACUUGUAAUAAGCUAUUUUCCCUUUUUUUUAUUUCUCUCCCAUAUGCUUCCUUGCUUUGCAUUGUGAUUGCAUGCCAUCUGCUGGUUUAACCCAUGAUGGCUUGCUGCUCUGAUAUUCACCAUAUGCCAAAAUGCCACUUCUGUUACCGUAACGCUACACCCUCCUGUUCAUUGCUCCCAUGGUCCCCCUCCUGAAAGUACCCAUGAUGCACAGCGCUACGUCAGCCACUGUCUCUGCGGCAACAGCUCCUGCAACAAGUGCCCCCUUCGCAGCAGCAGCCACAGCCAAUCAGAUAAUUCUGAAAUAAUCAGCAGAAAUGGAAUGGAAUGCCAAGAAUCUG
Molecule: RNA transcript, 3323 nt
Organism: Lagenorhynchus albirostris (white-beaked dolphin)
Lineage: Eukaryota; Metazoa; Chordata; Mammalia; Artiodactyla; Delphinidae
Gene: MBNL2
Gene name: muscleblind like splicing regulator 2
Exons: 9
Source: RefSeq, a predicted model, not a curated record